UACGGAAGGUGCAAGCGUUAAUCGGAAUUACUGGGCGUAAAGCGCGCGUAGGCGGCUUCGUAAGUGGAAUGUGAAAUCCCCCGGCUUACCCGGGGACCGGCAUCCCAUACUGCUUGGCUUGAGUACGGGAGAGGAUGUGGGAAUUCCUGGUGUAGCGGUGAAAUGCGUAGAUAUCAGGAGGAACACCGGUGGCGAAGGCGCACAUCUGGCCCGAUACUGACGCUGAAGCGCGAAAGCUAGGGGAGCAAACGGG
This 253-nucleotide ribosomal RNA is filed under the name uncultured bacterium. RNAcentral's name for it is "partial 16S ribosomal RNA". It matches the Rfam family "Bacterial small subunit ribosomal RNA", at positions 524 to 776 of the family's 1533-position model. The record is from RNAcentral.